Molecule: long non-coding RNA, 1261 nt
Organism: Gavialis gangeticus (Gharial)
Lineage: Eukaryota; Metazoa; Chordata; Crocodylia; Gavialidae
Exons: 4
Source: RefSeq, a predicted model, not a curated record
CCCAAGGAGCUGCCAAUACUUGCAGAGCAGUAGUAGAGGGUUCAGUGUGCAGAGAGGCAAAUCUUUUCUUCACAGAUAUUCUCAAAGUAUAAAUAAAAAGGCAUAUAAUUGUGAGAAAGUGAAGUAAUCAUCUGGUUACAUCUAUCAAGCUAUUUACAUAACCCAAUUGCUAGACUGUAGUGCCUGGGUGUCUCAUACUCAUCAUUCUGACAACAUCCCUCUGAACUUUGCUAAGAGGCAGAAUGCACUAACACAUCCCUGAGCUUCAUGAAAGUCUCUGCAUCAAGUGAAGUUUACUAGCAGAUCACAAGGAUCUGUAAAGCAAAAAGUUGUUCAGCAUAGAAAAUACACAAGGUGACUGGUGUCAUCACAAAACUGCAGAUGUGAACAAGUAUGACUCCAAUGAUGGGGAAUGAGUUCACUUCAAAUACCAAAGGGAUAUUUCAAAGGCUAUUAAAAAAAUCAUAUAAAACUUCUCACAUCUUUUUGUCUUGAUCACUGAACAUGAGACUAGCAGACUUUGGUAUGGGUUAAGGAUGAAAUGUCCCAAGAGUUGUAAAGGGAUUGCUCUCAUCUUAGGUUUUCAGGAGAAAGAACUGACCUGGUUCUGGGAACAAAAUCCAGGAUGGGAUUUACAACUGAGAAUCCCAUGGAGAGUUAUCUGCCUAACUGCUAGCAGUGGCUGAGGUCUUGGUCCUCUUGUUAGUUUUUCAUCUGAGCUUGCUUAUGUGAUCUCUGAGUCUGUGAAUCCUGCUGCUGAGCACUUCCUGACUCCAUGCACUUUAUGGGGAGCCUGUGUGCCUAACUUGGAUCUAAGGGCCUCACUAAAUGUCAGGCAGGACACCUGACAGGUAGGUACUGCAAUAUCUAAGUCUCCUUGUAGAUUUUGCCUGAAGAUCCUCCCAAAAUAAACAAACACCAAAACCAGCAAAGAAACAAUUAAUGAGUCAAAAGGAGAUGGCAAGAGCAUGUACUGCUGCAUCAGUGGCUGUGAGAAUCUUAUGCCUCCAUGAAAGUGGUGAAAGGAAAAUCUAGGCUGAAUAUCCAGAUAACUACUUAGGCUGAUUUUCCAUGCAGUACAAUCUAUCAGACUGUGAAAUAGGCUCCCAAGGGAAGUGAUGGCAGCUCUAUCACUUGGGUAAUAUAAUUGCUGUAUUUUGUGCCUUUGGUAAAGCCUGAGAGACUUUCUCUGAAUGAAUCUGAAUCAGAAUAUGCCUUUCUAGUGAAAACAGAAUACUUAAUAAAGCUACCCGAAUAUUGA